Molecule: ribosomal RNA, 427 nt
Filed under: uncultured bacterium
Lineage: Bacteria
Description: partial 16S ribosomal RNA
Rfam family: Bacterial small subunit ribosomal RNA
Source: RNAcentral
GUGGGGAAUAUUGCGCAAUGGGGGAAACCCUGACGCAGCAAUACCGCGUGAGUGAAGAAGGUUUUCGGAUCGUAAAACUCUUUUAUUGGGGAAGAAGAAGUGACGGUACCCAAUGAAGAAGUCCCGGCUAACUACGUGCCAGCAGCCGCGGUAAUACGUAGGGGACAAGCGUUGUCCGGAAUCACUGGGCGUAAAGGGCGCGUAGGCGGUUUUAUACGUCAGAUGUGAAAGGUACCGGCUCAACCGGUGACGUGCAUUUGAAACUGUAAGACUUGAGUACUGGAGAGGCAAGUGGAAUUCCUAGUGUAGCGGUGAAAUGCGUAGAUAUUAGGAGGAACACCGGUGGCGAAGGCGACUUACUGGACUGUAACUGACGCUGAGGCGCGAAAGUGUGGGGAGCAAACAGGAUUAGAAACCCUUGUAGUCC